This 301-nucleotide ribosomal RNA is filed under the name uncultured bacterium. Its description in RNAcentral is "partial 16S ribosomal RNA". It matches the Rfam family "Bacterial small subunit ribosomal RNA", at positions 509 to 807 of the family's 1533-position model. The record is from RNAcentral.
CAGUCGCCGCGGUAAUGCGUAGGUGGCAAGCGUUGUCCGGAAUUAUUGGGCGUAAAGCGCGCGCAGGUGGUUUAAUAAGUCUGAUGUGAAAGCCCACGGCUCAACCGUGGAGGGUCAUUGGAAACUGUUAAACUUGAGUGCAGGAGAGAAAAGUGGAAUUCCUAGUGUAGCGGUGAAAUGCGUAGAGAUUAGGAGGAACACCAGUGGCGAAGGCGGCUUUUUGGCCUGUAACUGACACUGAGGCGCGAAAGCGUGGGGAGCAAACAGGAUUAGAUACCCCAGUAGUCCCUGUCUCUUAUAC